Molecule: ribosomal RNA, 459 nt
Filed under: uncultured bacterium
Lineage: Bacteria
Description: partial 16S ribosomal RNA
Rfam family: Bacterial small subunit ribosomal RNA
Source: RNAcentral
ACUACGGGUGGCUGCAGUGAGGAAUAUUGGUCAAUGGGGGAGAUCCUGAACCAGCCAAGCCGCGUGAGGGAAGACGGCCCUAGGGGUUGUACAUCUCUUUUGUCGGAGAACAAACCCCGGGACGUGUCCCGGACUGCGGGUAUCAGAAGAAAACGCAUCGGCUAACUACGUGCCAGCAGCCGCGGUAAUACGGGGGAUGCGAGCGUUAUCCGGAUUUAGUGGGUUUAAAGGGUGCGUGGGCGGUCCGUUAAGUCAGCGGUAAAAUUGCGGGGCUCAACCCCGUCGAGCCGUUGAAACUGGCAGACUUGAGUUGGCGAGAAGUACGCGGAAUGCGCGGUGUAGCGGUGAAAUGCAUAGAUAUCGCGCAGAACUCCGAUUGCGAAGGCAGCGUACCGGCGCCAGACUGACGCUGAGGCACGAAAGCGUGGGGAUCGAACAGGAUUAGAUACCCGGGUAGUC